GUGAUUAUACUUUUAUGAAUCUUUGUAUAGUGUCCCCUUAAGAAAUGUGGUUUGAAAAUCUUAGUUGUCUCUAAUCACAAUGAUGAGUUUGAUGCUCUCUUCUGAUCAUUGCUCAGGUUCUGGUUAUUGAUUCUUUAAUGAGCUUUAACCAUUGAUGAAUGUUUCCUACUUCUUAUGAAGUGUUGGUGGGAGAGAGAAUGAUCAGAGGGAU
This is a small nucleolar RNA of Pangasianodon hypophthalmus (striped catfish), 211 nucleotides long. RefSeq annotates it as small nucleolar RNA U3. The transcript has a single exon. NCBI's taxonomy places the organism in Eukaryota, Metazoa, Chordata, Actinopteri, Siluriformes, Pangasiidae. The record is from RefSeq and is a predicted model, not a curated record.